AUUGAACGCUGGCGGCAUGCCUUACACAUGCAAGUCGAACGGUAACAGGUUAAGCUGACGAGUGGCGAACGGGUGAGUAAUAUAUCGGAACGUGCCCAGUCGUGGGGAUAACGCAGCGAAAGCUGUGCUAAUACCGCAUACGAUCUAUGGAUGAAAGCGGGGGAUCGCAAGACCUCGCGCGAUUGGAGCGGCCGAUAUCAGAUUAGCUAGUUGGUGGGUAAAAGCCCACCAAGGCGACGAUCUGUAGCUGGUCUGAGAGGACGACCAGCCACACUGGAACUGAGACACGGUCCAGACUCCUACGGGAGGCAGCAGUGGGGAAUUUUGGACAAUGGGCGCAAGCCUGAUCCGAGACAAUCGCCGCGUGCGAGGAGUGGAACGGUCC
Molecule: ribosomal RNA, 385 nt
Filed under: uncultured bacterium
Lineage: Bacteria
Description: bacterial SSU rRNA
Rfam family: Bacterial small subunit ribosomal RNA
Source: RNAcentral